Molecule: long non-coding RNA, 201 nt
Filed under: Mytilus galloprovincialis (Mediterranean mussel)
Lineage: Eukaryota; Metazoa; Mollusca; Bivalvia; Mytilida; Mytilidae
Source: RNAcentral
CUCAUGAAACGUUGGUGUAUUGUUUAUAUAUAUUGACUGAAGCUCCCUUUGUUGCUAAUAAAAAAAUGACCUAAAAGAGUUUGAAUAUUCUGACUUUUUCUAAAUGACAAUUUAAUGAGGUGUGUGAAUUUUUCUUAAUAAGACUAUGAGGCAAAGUGGUAUAUAGGGUAGAAAAAUCAAAAGCACCAAUUAUAAGCAUGC